UAAAAGCCAUCUUUGUAGGUUCAUUCCUGCU
Molecule: non-coding RNA, 31 nt
Filed under: Mus musculus (house mouse)
Lineage: Eukaryota; Metazoa; Chordata; Mammalia; Rodentia; Muridae
Source: RNAcentral